This 858-nucleotide ribosomal RNA is filed under the name uncultured Neocallimastigales. RNAcentral's name for it is "partial large subunit ribosomal RNA". It matches the Rfam family "Eukaryotic large subunit ribosomal RNA", at positions 24 to 640 of the family's 3401-position model. Lineage: Eukaryota; Fungi; Neocallimastigomycota; Neocallimastigomycetes; Neocallimastigales. The record is from RNAcentral.
UAUGUGAUCGUCUCUCGCAUAUCAAUAAGCGGAGGAAAAGGAAACUAACAAGGAUUCCCCUAGUAACGGCGAGUGAAGCGGGAAGAGCUCAAAUUUGAAAUCUUAAAGGGUUUCCCUUUACGAAUUGUAGUUUAAAGAAGUGUUUUCUGUUGAGGUUUUGGUAAAAGUUCUUUGGAAUAGGACAUCAUAGAGGGUGAGAAUCCCGUAUUUGACCUUUACUUUCAACUUUGUGAUACACUUUCAAAGAGUCGGAUUGUUUGGGAAUGCAGUCUAAAAUGGGUGGUAAAUUUCAUCUAAAGCUAAAUAUUGGCGAGAGACCGAUAGCGAACAAGUACCGUGAGGGAAAGAUGAAAAGAACUUUGAAAAGAGAGUUAAACAGUACGUGAAAUUGUCAAAAGGGAAGCGUUUGACACCAGUGUUGUUUUUCUGAAAAUCAAUUAAAGAACUGUUUAUGCUAAGUUGUUUAGACUUUAUCAGCUAACUGUUUAGUUUUGAGCUUUUCUUUAAUGCACUUUUCAGUUAACAAGUCAACAUCAAUUUCUUUUGCUGUAAAAAAGCUUGAGGAAGGUGGCUUGAGAUUCGUCUUAAGUGUUUAUAGCCUCUUGCCUAUGCAGUCGGAGAGAUUGAGGUCUGCAGCGUAGAUCCUUCGGGGCUAAAUGCAUUUGUGCUAAGUUAUAGCAUUUUAUAGACAACUUGUUGACUAUGAUUUGUCUUGUAGCUUACUCGCUUAUGUUAUUUUACCUACGCUUAGGAUGUUGACACACGCGCGUGCUCGACUCUAUACAUGACUCUGUGCAUAUCAAUAAGCGGAGGAAAAGGCAUACCUACGCUUAGGAUGUUGACACACGCGCGUGCUCG